RNAcentral lists this ribosomal RNA (263 nucleotides) under uncultured bacterium. Its description in RNAcentral is "partial 16S ribosomal RNA". It matches the Rfam family "Bacterial small subunit ribosomal RNA", at positions 28 to 301 of the family's 1533-position model. The record is from RNAcentral.
GACGAACGCUGGCGGCGUGCCUAAAACAUGCAAGUCGAACGGUCCUAGCAAUAGGACAGUGGCGAACGGCGGAGUAAUACAUAACCAACGUGCCCUGAAGACUGGGAUAGCCGGGUGAAAACCCGAGUAAUACCGGAUGUGGCUCCUUUCCGGCAUCGGAGAGGAACUAAAUGGUUUUUCNCUUCAGGAGCGGGUUAUGGCCUAUCAGCUUGUUGGCGGGGUAAUGGCCCACCAAGGCGACGACGGGAGGGGUCGUGAGAGGA